AAAAAUCUAUCAUCAGACACCCAGUAAGGUAAAUCUUUUGCCAGACACCCAGUAAGGGAAAUCUAUUAUCAGACACCCAGUAAGGUAAAUCUAUUAUCAGACACCCAGUAAGGUAAAUCUAUUAUUAGACACCCAGUAAGGUAAAUCUAUUAUCAGACACCCAGCAAGGUAAAUCUAUCAUCAGACAUCCAGUGAGGUAAAUCUAUUAUCAAACACUCAGUAAGGUAAAUCUAUUAUCAGAUACCCAGUAAGAGAAAUAUAUAAUCAGACCCCCAGUGAGGGAAAUCUAUUAUAAGACACCCAGCAAGGUAAAUCUAUUAUCAGACACCCAGUAAG
Mizuhopecten yessoensis (Yesso scallop) is the source of this 336-nucleotide long non-coding RNA. RefSeq lists it as uncharacterized. The record is from RefSeq and is a predicted model, not a curated record. The transcript is spliced from 2 exons. NCBI's taxonomy places the organism in Eukaryota, Metazoa, Mollusca, Bivalvia, Pectinida, Pectinidae.